GUGUCACCACGGCCAUCGUUCCCUCUGCCACGCUCCCUCCUCAGUGUCACCACGGCCAUCGUUCCCUCUGCCACGCUCCCUCCUCAGUGUCACCACGGCCAUCGUUCCCUCUGCCACCUCCCUCCUCAAUGUCAGCCAUGGCCAUCGUUCCCUCUGCCACGCUCCCUCCUCAGUGUCACCAUGGCCAUCGUUCCCUCUGCCACGCUCCCUCCUCAGUGUCACCAUGGCCAUCGUUCCCUCUGCCACGCUCCCUCCUCAGUG
Molecule: long non-coding RNA, 261 nt
Filed under: Homo sapiens (human)
Lineage: Eukaryota; Metazoa; Chordata; Mammalia; Primates; Hominidae
Description: non-protein coding lnc-PROP1-2:3
Source: RNAcentral